RNAcentral lists this ribosomal RNA (317 nucleotides) under Tropaprionus sp. JSMJ9. RNAcentral's name for it is "partial 16S ribosomal RNA". Lineage: Eukaryota; Metazoa; Arthropoda; Insecta; Diptera; Cecidomyiidae. The record is from RNAcentral.
GAAUGAAAGGUUGAAUGAAAUAAAAUCUUUAUUUUUUAAAAUUUUGUAAUUUUAUUUUUAAGUUAAAAAGCUUAAAUUAAUAUUUAAGACGAGAAGACCCUAUAAAUUUUUAUAAGUUUAAUUUUAAAAAAUUUUUUAUUUUAUAUAUUAAAAUUUAAAUAUUAUUUAAUUGGGGUGUUUAAAAUAUUUAAAAAACUAUUUAUAAAUAAUUAAAAUUUAAUUAAAUAUUUGAUCCAUAAAAAUGAAUAAAAAAUUAAAUUACUUUAGGGAUAACAGCAUAAUUUUUUUAUAAAGAUCAUAUUAAUAAAAAAGAUUAU